CUGGCCGCUGGCAGCCCUGCUGGUGGGUCCUGCCUCUUUGACACCGUUCCUUUCUGAAGCUUGUUUUCCCCAGUGUUGGAAGUAGCAGCACUGGAGGAAUGGCCUUCGUCCUACAGCAAAGCUCUGCCAGGAGAGGAGGAGAAGACAUAGAGCAUCUGUUGAGGGACAUGACGUUCUGGGCACUGCACCAUGCCUUCUGCUUCUCAGCAGUGCCUCCUGGUUGAUGUUACAGUCACCUGGCAUCGCCCAGGAGGUAACUCGCAGAGGUAGGCAGGGAGCCGAAGGAGCUCAGGAAGGAGUGAGCCGUCACAGGGUGGGGGAGGUUCAGGAGCUAGCAGGCAAGUGGGAUGUGGCCUCAAGGUGCUGCUGGGUUGGUGAGGGGUCUUCUGGGACUUUUCUGAGAGUGCAGUCAGUUGUAGGGUGGGUGCCGGCUCCCGCAGAUAGAAGAGCCAAGUGUGCAGGAGACCAACGUGUGCACUGGGAGUCCCCAGGGGCGUGUCCUGGCACGCGGCCCAGAGGCCCCUGAGAAGGCUCAGUGCACCAGGCACACAGCGGAUUGUUGGUGCUUGACCCGACGAGAAGGUGAGGAAGUGAGGAGGUGAGGAGGGCCGAGAGACAGGUGCAGGGAUGCACUAGACAGGGUGCAGUCAGGUGGAGGGUCACACUGUGGGGUUGACGAGAGACGGGUGUGGUCAGUGUGGAGGGUCAUGCUGUGGGAUCCAGGAGAGAUGGGGGUGGUCAGGUGGAGGGUCAUUCUUGGGGUUCCAGGAGAGACAGGUGUGGUUGGGUGGAGGGUCACACUGUGGGGUCCAGGAGAGAUGGGUGUGGUCAGUGUGGAGGGUCACGCUGGGGGGUCCAGGAGAGACGGGUGUGGUCGGGUGGAGGGUCACGCUGUGGGGUCCAGGAGAGACGGGUGUGGUCAGGUGGAGGGUCACACUGUGGGGUUGAGGAGAGACGGGUGUGGUCAGGUGAAGGGUCACACUGUGGGGUCCAGGAGAGAUGGGUGUGGUCAGUGUGGAGGGUCACGCUGUGGGGUCCAGGAGAGAUGGGUGUGGUCAGUGUGGAGGGUCACGCUGUGGGGUCCAGGAGAGAUGGGUGUGGUCAGGUGAAGGGUCACACUGUGGGGUCCAGGAGAGAUGGGGGUGGUCAGGUGAAGGGUCACACUGUGGGGUCCAGGAGAGAUGGGUGUGGUCAGGUGAAGGGUCACACUGUGGGGUCCAGGAGAGAUGGGUGUGGUCAGGUGAAGGGUCACGCUGUGGGGUCCAGGAGAGAUGGGGGUGGUCAGUGUGGAGGGUCACACUGUGGGGUUGAGGAGAGAUGGAUGUGGUCAGUGUGGAGGGUCACUCUGGGGGGUCCAGGAGAGAUGGGUGUGGUUGGGUGGAGGGUCACGCUGUGGGGUCCAGGAGAGACGGGUGUGGUCAGGUGAAGGGGUCACGCUGUGGGGUCCAGGAGAGAUGGGUGUGGUCGGGUGGAGGGUCACGAAGUGGGGUGCAGGAGAGAUGGGUGUGGUCAGGUGGAAGGUCACGCUGUGGUGUCUGGGAAAUGUGUUUUUGCUUUUGGCUGAGCAGCUGGACCUGAGCAUGUCUGUGCUUUGACAUUUAACCUGUGCACUGUCCUCGGCAGGGUGUGUGCCUCUGUGACAGAGGACACCUCAGCCAGAGUGGAUGUCGGCGGUGGUGGCCGGACUCAGGGUCCAUGAAUGUUGCGUGGUAGAACGUGUUUGGUAUAUUCUGAGCUCCUGCCCAAGUGCCUCCCAA
Molecule: long non-coding RNA, 1757 nt
Filed under: Pan troglodytes (chimpanzee)
Lineage: Eukaryota; Metazoa; Chordata; Mammalia; Primates; Hominidae
Description: long non-coding RNA NONPTRT001979
Source: RNAcentral